CCUACGGGCUGCAGCAGUGAGGAAUAUUGGUCAAUGGACGAGAGUCUGAACCAGCCAAGUAGCGUGAAGGAUGACUGCCCUAUGGGUUGUAAACUUCUUUUAUAUGGGAAUAAAACGUUCCACGUGUGGGAUUUUGUAUGUACCAUAUGAAUAAGGAUCGGCUAACUCCGUGCCAGCAGCCGCGGUAAUACGGAGGAUCCGAGCGUUAUCCGGAUUUAUUGGGUUUAAAGGGAGCGUAGGUGGAUUGUUAAGUCAGUUGUGAAAGUUUGCGGCUCAACCGUAAAAUUGCAGUUGAAACUGGCAGUCUUGAGUACAGUAGAGGUGGGCGGAAUUCGUGGUGUAGCGGUGAAAUGCUUAGAUAUCACGAAGAACUCCGAUUGCGAAGGCAGUUCACUGGACUGCAACUGACACUGAGGCUCGAAAGUGUGGGUAUCAAACAGGAUUAGAUACCCUAGUAGUC
RNAcentral lists this ribosomal RNA (460 nucleotides) under uncultured bacterium. RNAcentral describes it as "partial 16S ribosomal RNA". It matches the Rfam family "Bacterial small subunit ribosomal RNA", at positions 338 to 795 of the family's 1533-position model. The record is from RNAcentral.